CGUAGGUGGCAAGCGUUAUCCGGAAUCAUUGGGCGUAAAGGGUGCGUAGGUGGCGUACUAAGUCUGUAGUAAAAGGCAAUGGCUCAACCAUUGUAAGCUAUGGAAACUGGUAUGCUGGAGUGCAGAAGAGGGCGAUGGAAUUCCAUGUGUAGCGGUAAAAUGCGUAGAUAUAUGGAGGAACACCAGUGGCGAAGGCGGUCGCCUGGUCUGUAACUGACACUGAGGCACGAAAGCGUGGGAGCAAAUAGGAUU
This 252-nucleotide ribosomal RNA is filed under the name uncultured bacterium. Its description in RNAcentral is "partial 16S ribosomal RNA". It matches the Rfam family "Bacterial small subunit ribosomal RNA", at positions 526 to 779 of the family's 1533-position model. The record is from RNAcentral.